Molecule: long non-coding RNA, 2005 nt
Organism: Vespula pensylvanica (western yellowjacket)
Lineage: Eukaryota; Metazoa; Arthropoda; Insecta; Hymenoptera; Vespidae
Exons: 4
Source: RefSeq, a predicted model, not a curated record
UUGAUCGAAAAUAUUGCUUGUAUUUUAUAUUGCAUUAUUAUGUUCGAUAGUGAUCAAAUUGUAUCAGCAUCAACUUAUACGAAGACUUGUUACUAGCGAAAGGUGUUAAUGACACGAUACUCGAUAGUAGAAAAAGCAGAGACCGUCAUUUUCGAGUCCACAAGAAAGAACAAAAGGCGAGGAAGAAGACUCUUCAAGAUUCCCAUUCCUGGAACGCUGGUGAUUUCUAAUUGAUCGUAAAAGGCGAAGCUCCGCGAUCGUGUCCUCGAUAUUUCACGAGCACGGUGAAAGAAGAAACGCACUCGUCGACUACGCACGAGAAUCUCGUCGUACCAGAUCAAGGACGAGGUUUCUCAGUGUCUCAAUAUGUCGAGAAACCCGAUUCGGAGGCCUUGUACCACUUAAAUUCGGACACUUCCUAAGCUGGAAAUCAGGAAACGCGAAUCGUUCUCUCUCAUUCUUAACCAAUUCGACGAAGGGGAAAAGAAAAAAGAGGAAAAGCGAGUUGUGCAGGUGCCGAUCGAAAGGUCGUGUCUCCGUGGAAAAAAGGAAUGCUUGGAAGAGGGAAGAAAAGGUCGAACGUCAAUCCUGAAGUGGAACGAAACGAUAGAAGAGAAGGAAGCAAUCCGCGCUAUCGGCUGGGAAUAACACGAGCGUAAGAAUCGAACCUCAUUAAGCAGGCUCGUUUCUUCUAGCCGGUAAUUAAAUGCGACCAAAGGAAAGGAAAAACGCUGGAUAAGGUACAUCGCUCGCGAAGUAGGCCUCCCGCAUUUAAUUGUAUCGCGCCUCGUUAGGUCGUCCCACAACGGGUCGACCUUUGGGUUCUGUGUGCGUAUGUGUUUGUUUCAGGGUUCACAAGAAUGCAAGAGACACUACGUAUUACGAUAGGUCGAGGUGAUGAAAAAAAAAAAAAAGAAAGAACCAGGAAGAAAAGAAAAAAAAGAAAUCGGGUGCAAAGACCUGCUUGCUGCUAGAUAGACGUGAUUAUGGAAACGAGAGAGAGAGAGAGAGAGAGAGAUGGAGAAAGAGUGAAAGAGUCCCAAGUCUUGUGGAAAGAGUAGAAUUGCGGUCCAGCCUAGUUUUUUAAAAAAUGCGAAACAAGUCUGUGGUCUAGUUUAUUGAACGGAUACGACAGCUUCUUCCUCUUGAAAAGGUUUUGAUUUCGUCGGCAAGUUCAUAGAAAAGACGGAAAGGAAAGAAUAUCAGAAGGCAGAAAUAGAGAGACGCCACAGUUCGGUAAGUAGUUACUGCUUAAGUUUUACGAAAAGUCGUACUAUUGCAGAAUCGGAAGUCAUAAUCCCGGAAUGUAGAGUUUUGAUGAUCUUAGAAAGGCUCGUGAAUAUAGUAACAAACUACAUCCCGUUUCUUGCUGACGUAGUCUUUAAACGAAGCAGCCGUCUUCUUCCUUUGGGACCAUACCGAAAUCCGAAACUUAUUUCGAAGACGAAUGAAAAGUCCAAAAGCAUUUCUACGGCAUAAGCGAGAAAUUGAAAGGGUUCAUUCUAUCUGGGUCCACCUUAUCCACAAGUAAUAACGUGCCAUAUAUCUAUACACCUAUUGGUAUAUACAGACCGGACAGAAAGUUGUGAAAUAGAACUUGAUAAAAGCAAAACAAAAUCGAGUACUUAUACGAACGAAAUAGAAAAGAAAUGGAACUAUCGAUUUUAUAAUAAAAGAAAUAAUUCAUCAUAUUUUCUGACAAAUAUUUGAGAUAUUGGUAUAUUCCCACUCGUCGUUUUUUUCUCGUUUUAUCUUCUCUCAUAUGUUUACGCGAAAUGAUCAUAGUGCUAUUUUUUUUUCUCGAGUACCUGCGAUACGUUUUUUUCUGUCUCCAUGUCUCUUUAUUUAUACGGUUAGCCGAGUCUCGAAAGACUAGCACCUAUUGCCAACGAUCAUUCCUUUGUGCAACGCACGUCUCUGAAUCGCCUUGAAAGUUCGAACGGGAAAGGUUACACACCGCUAUUCUGCGCGUUAAGAAGCAGGAUUUGAUUAAACGCUGCAGUAG